GACGAACGCUGGCGGCGUGCUUAACACAUGCAAGUCGAACGGAAAGGCCCUGCUUUGGUGGGGUGCGCGAGUGGCGACCGGGUGAGUAACCCGUGAGUAACCUGCACUUGACUGUGGGAUAACUUCAGGAAACUGGGGCUAAUACCGGAUAGGAGCUCCUGCUGCAUGGUGGGGGUUGGAAAGUUUCGGCGGUUGGGGAUGGACUCGCGGCCUAUCAGCUUGAUGGUGGGGUAGUGGCUUACCAAGGCUUUGCCGGGUAGCCGGCCUGAGAGGGGCAGCGGCCCAACUGCGACGGGGAUGAGGCACGGACUACUAUGGGAGGCAGGGGAGGGGAAGGUUGCACAGUGGGCUGAAGCAUGGUGCAGCAAAGCAGUGUGGGGGAUGUGGGCAUUCGGUUUGUAUUCCGAUGCCGCCUUAGACGAGGCGUGAGUGACGGUAAUGGGUAAAGAAGCACCGGCUAACUACGUG
Molecule: ribosomal RNA, 468 nt
Filed under: uncultured bacterium
Lineage: Bacteria
Description: partial 16S ribosomal RNA
Rfam family: Bacterial small subunit ribosomal RNA
Source: RNAcentral